Scylla paramamosain (green mud crab) is the source of this 6702-nucleotide long non-coding RNA. RefSeq lists it as uncharacterized. The record is from RefSeq and is a predicted model, not a curated record. The transcript has 2 exons. Lineage: Eukaryota; Metazoa; Arthropoda; Malacostraca; Decapoda; Portunidae.
GUAGAAAAUGUUCUAUACACAUGUAUUUUAAGGCUUUGUUUACCCGUCAGACUAGUUGAAAAUGCAUGGGUGUACUAUGCCUGUAGCUAUGAGGUGACGGACAGAUUGAUGAACUGCCGCAGCCUUGGAGGUGCCACUUGCUCAAAUUACGAAUGGUUUUAUGAUAUUUUUUGUAGACUGUGGAAUAUUACAGUAUCUUGUAACAAGACAAUCGGUAUUAAAAAUCAUGUAAUUUACCGAUAAGCAUACACGACAACAUUACUGCAGUGAUUAAAAGUACUCCUGUAAAAUGCUAAGUGGCAUCAUCAAAGAGCGGGAGGAGGGGGGAGCGAGUCCGAGAGACCUUCAAAACAGCUGAGUGAUGAUGCCACGUAGCAUUUUACAGAAGCACUUUUAAUCACCGCAAUAACAUUGUCAUGUAAUGCUUAUCGAUAAAUUAUAUGCUUUUAACAACAUUUGUCUUCUUGUAAGAUACUGUAAUAUUCCACAUCCUGCAAAAAAAUAAGAUAAAACCAUUCGUAAUUUGAGCAAGCGAGUUGUAUAAAUAUUUCGUAGAUAAGUUGCAUACAUCCCGUAUAGAGGAGUGAGAUCACAGAAGAAUGACCCUAAAUGGAUGACUGCUAGCUUAAGAUAUUAUAUAGGGCAGAAGAGAAAUAUAUAUGAGAUUGAAUUAGAACAGUCAGUUAACGAGGAAAGCUAAGGGCAAUUAUGAAUAAAGGAUAGCCUGUCAGGCGAAGACGGACCCCAAGGGAUUUUAUCAGGUAUACAAGAAGAAGAAUAAGGAUACUAUAGGUCCAUUAAAGUCAGCAGAUGGGAAGCUGGUUAGUUCUGGGGAGAAGAUUAGCAAAAUUCUGAAUGAGUAUUUUUUAACUGUCUUCAACCAGGAAAACAUGCAGGAUAUGCCAAAUAGUGAACAGAUGUUUAGAGCAGAUGAGAAUGAGAAGCUGACAGAUAUUUCCAUAACUAGGGAUAUAGUGGAACAGGAGCUAGAUAAGCUAAAACGUUCAAGACACCAGGACCUGAUGAAAUAUAUUCCAGAGUACUUAAGGAAUGCAAAGAGGUUAUUAGUGAGCCGUUAGAUUCCGUCUUUAAGAAAUCACUUGAGUCGGGUGAGGUACCAGUAAUGUUGAGGCAGGCUAAUGUAGUACCCAUCUUUAAGAAAGGAGAUAAAACUUUAGCGUCUAAUUAUAGACCUGUCAGCUUAACUUCAGUUGUGGGUAAAUUAUUUGAGUCAAUAAUAGCGAGAAACAUUAGGGAACAUUUAGACAAACAUAACCUGAUAACUCAGUCACAGCAUGACUUCACGAAGGGGAAGUCUUGCCUGACAAACUUGUUAAGUUUUUACAGUAAAGUGUACGAGGCAGUAGAUAAUGGUGAUAGUUAUGACAUCUUAUAUCUGGACUUUAGUAAAGCAUUUGACAAGGUACCCCAUCAAAGGCUCCAGAGAAAGGUUAGGGUACAUGGGAUAGAUGGGAAGGUGUUAGGCUGGAUAAGGUCAUGGCUAAGCAACAGGCGACAAAAAGUUGUAAUAAACGGCUCGAAAUCUGAGUGGGGUCAUGUAAUUAGUGGGGUGCCACAGGGAUCAGUAUUAGGGCCAUUGUUGUUUUUAAUAUAUAUCAAUGACUUAGAUAGUGAAAUUAGUAGUGGUUAGUAAAUGCGGAUGACACAAAGAUAGGUAGAUUAAUUAGGUCAGAAUCGGAUGCCAUCGCCUUGCAGGCAGAUUUAAAUAGGAUGAAGGAAUGGACGGACAGAUGGCAAAUGCAGUUUAAUAUAUCAAGAAAUGUAAAGUACUUAGCAUAGGUAGAGGAAACCCACACAGUAGGUACACAUUAAACAACGAAACUCUGGUAGGUACAGGGUACGAGAAAGAUUUAGGAGUUAUAGUUAGCUCUGAACUCCGUCUAGGAAAACAAUGCAUAGAGGCCAGAAACAGGGAAAAUAGGGUACUAGGAUUAAUUUUUAGGAGUGUUAAAAGUAGAAAGCCCGAAGUAAUGUUGAAGUUAUACUUGGCGCUGGUCAGACAACGCUGUGCAGUUCUGGUCCCCACAUUACAGGAAAGAUAUAGAUCUAUUAGAAUCAGUACAGAGGAGAAUGACUAAAAGGAUACAGGGGAUGAGGAGUAUUCCUUACGAGGCGAGAUUGAAGCUGUUAAAUUUACAUAUUUACAUUCUUUAGAGAGACGUAAGUUAAUUAAGAGGGGGACCUGAUAGAAAUCUUUAAGUGGUAUAAGGGUUAUAACAAGGGGGAUGUAAGGAAAAUUCUUAGGAUCAGCAACCUGGAUAGAACAAGAAAUAACGGGUUCAAGCUUGAAAAAAAUUAGGUUUAGGAAGGAGAUAGGAAGAAAUUGGUUCUCAAGUAGAGUGGUAGAUGAGUGGAACGGACUCAGUAAUCAUGUUGUUAGUGCUAGGACAUUAGGGAGCUUUAAGAGAAGAUUAGACAGGUUUAUGGAUGGGGAUGAUAGGUGGAAAUAGGUAUAUUUCAUACAGGGACUGCCAUGUGUAAGCCUGGUCGUUUCUUGCAGCUUCCCUCAUUUCUUGUGUUCUGUUCCUUAGUGGCACCUCCGAAGCUGUGAAAAUGCAACCGUCUGUCCGUCACCUCAGCUACACGCAGAGUACACACAUACAUUUUCAACUCCUCUGACGGGUAAACAAAGCCUUAAAAUGCAUAUGUGUAAAGAACUUUUUCUACUUAGAAUUACACGUUCUUUCACUUCUUUUAGUAUUUGCAGAAACUCGCGCUACACCUUGUAUAAUAUACUAAUUACUGAUGUAGGGAAUUUUAUUUACGUCGUCGUUAUGUCCCCUAUACCCCUUACAAACCUCUGCCGGAUCCUGUUAGCCUACUCUUGUCUAUUGAAUGAAAAUUUAAAAGUUUAAGUCUCCUUUUGUGAGAAAUUCUCAUCCCCUGUAUCCACUUAUUCAUUCAUUUUUGUACUGAUUCUAAGAGACCUAUAUAUCCUUCCUGUAAUAAUGGGACCAGAACUGAACUAUAUAAUAUACACAGCAGAUGAGGUCUGACCAGCGCCAAUAUAAUUUUAAUAUUUGUUAAACUCUGAGCCAUCCUUGCUAGCAAUGUGUAUUAGGCGAGUAGGACAGGGAAUAAAACGUGCGAGUCCUAAGACAGCUGGAGCAGAACUAAAGUGUACCACACCUGCUAUUUAUUUCAUUGGCUUCGACACAGAUUAAAAAUACACAGUGUGAAACCCCAAAACCCCGAACAUCUGAGUAACUCAAUUGAACCCCGAAUAAACCCACCAACGUAUCAUUAUGUUUCGGACCCAACACCCCCACUGAAACUAAUGAUGGGUAUAUACAAUACAACACACAUUAAAUCAAUACACACUCCUGUUUUAACUAUCUACACACCCAUAAUAACUUUACUGAAAUCACAAAGCUUUACUUUAGGUAUACAGGUUUAGUGAACAUAUCAGCAAUAUUUUGAUCAGAUGGUACAUAGUUAAGUUGCACUACACCUCUCUGAACCUCUAUCCUAAUAAAAUGGUAUCUAAUAUCUAUGUGCUUUGAUCUCUGAUGCUGGACAGGGUUUUCAACUAAUUUUAUGGCACCUUGGUUAUCACAGUGUAUAUAGUACAGCUGUUUAUCGAAGUACUUCCUGUCAUAUCUUCCAGUAAUUGCAAUAAAAACUUUGCCUCUUGAGUAGCGGCAGACAAGGCCAUAUACUCAGCUUCACAAGUAGACAGAGCAACUGUUCUCUGUUUUCUAGUCUUCCAAGAGAUUAAUGGACCCCCACUGGAAAGUUGGAAGCUAUACCCGGUAAUACUUCUGCGAUCUUGUGCAUUAGCCCAGUCAGCAUCACAAUACCCAAUCAAAUUCAGUGACUCAUCUGACUUUUUAAAAGUCAAACAUUGAUCAAUGGUACCUUUCAAAUAUCUUAAUACAUGCUUGGCCAUAGUGAGAUGAGAAGUAGUUGGAUUAGUCAUAUUCUGAGACAAUUUAGUUACAAUAAAGCACAAAUCAGGUCUAGUACAUGUCAUUACAUAGAUCAGACUUCCAACUCUAUACAUAUUGAUAUCAGCCAGUUUUGAUUCACUAGAACUAAUACAUACUUUGUUCACAUCCAUGUUACAAGGAGUAUAGGCAGGUUUACAAUGUUGCAUACCAAAUUUCUCAAGGAUCUUUUCCACAUAUUUAGUUUGAUUCAUUUUAAUUACAUUAUCAUCACACACAAACUGUAUACCUAGAUACCAGGAAAUUUUGCCUAGAUCUUUCAUCCUAAAUUUAUCACCCAGACUUUCCUUCAUGUUCUUCAAUUUUGCAUCACUGCUGGCCGCAAUUAUUAUGUCAUCAACCCAAACUAAUACAUUGGUUACCUCAUCAUCAGUAAUUCUGGUAUAAAGACAUGGGUCAGCAAAUGACUGAGUUAAACUUAGGUCAACCAAAUAUGAGUGCAACAGUGAACUCCAAUUUCUACCACUUUGUUUGAGACCAUACAAGGAUUUCUUUAAUUUGUACACCAACUUCUCGCCACCAUUACCCUCCACACAGAAACCCUUGGGUUGUUCAACAUAAAUUUCACAAUCAAUAGGUGCAUUUAAGUAGGCAGUUUUUACAUCCAUUUGAUGAACAACCAGGUCAUGUUGUACAGCCAACUGCAUUAAAGUUCUUACAGAUGUGAUCCUAGUAGUUGGGGAAAAUGUUUCGUGAUAAUCUAUACCUGCCUCCUGAGAGUAACCCUUAGCAACAAAACGAGCCUUGUACCUUGUCUCAUUGUUAGGGUUAAACUUCAGGUCAUAUACCCACCUACUUCCCACAGCUUUUCUACCUUCAGGCAAAGUAGUAAGCUCAAAAGUCUCAUUAUCCUUUAGAGCUUUCAUUUCCAAUUCCAUAGCUUCUCGCCAUUUAUCAGAAUCAGGAGAUGCAAUAGCAUCUUGAUAUGUAUAAGGUACACUGGCUAGUUUAUAGCAAUAGUCAACAGUACAAUUCACAAUACUAUCCAAAGCCUCAUCCAUUUCAUCACCAACAAUACAGUCACCAAAAUAUAUGGGUUUACGUUUUACUCUUUCUGACCGCCUUAAACACACACUGUCCUCUGUUUGGUUACCAACUUCUGGGCUAGCUUCAGUGUCAGUACUACGUGUUGUAGUCCAGUCACAUUCACUACCCCAUGCUACAUCUGAACUUACAUCUACGCUAGGCCUGGUAAAUUUGACACAUCCACUUUCCUUACUGUACCAGUCUUUGGAAAAUAUACAAGGUAUGCUGGACUAGACUUAUCAUAGCCUACAAAAAUUCCAUCCUCACUUCUGGCAUCAAGUUUUUUCUUCUGUUGUACAUAGGCAUAACAUACAGAACCAAAAAUGUGCAUAUUACUAAUAUUUGGCUUUUUACCUGCAAAAGCCUCGAAUGGAGUCUUCUUAAUCCUAAGGUUAUAACAUCUGUUUCUAAUGUAAGCAGAGGCCAUAACGGCAUACGUCCACAGAAACUUUGGCAGACCAGACUCUAUUAGUAAACAUCUGGCCAUUUCAAAAAGAGUACGCCAGCCUCUUUCAGCGGUACCAUUUUGGUGAGGUGAGUAGGGAGAAGACAUUUCAUGCUUGAUUUUAUUUUCCACGAGUAAAUCUCCGAAUGCAUUAGAAGUAAAUUCCGUACCUUCAUCACUUCUGAGACAUUUCACUGAGCCAUAGGGAGAAAUGUCUGCUAUGAAAUGCUUAGUUGCCUGUAAGGUGUCACACUUAUAUUUGAGGAAGUAUAUCAUGAUAAGACCGGAGUAAUCAACAAAACUGAGUGCAUACUUAAAACCGUCCUUGGCAACAGGAUCAAUGGGACCAGCUAGGUCACAGUGUACCAUAUCUAGUUUAGCUUUUGAACGCUCAUCAGCUUGUCUGUUUCUAAACUGAGUCAUUUUCCCUUUAACACAAAUGCCACAAUCAAAGUCCUUUUUGUCACUAAUUUUCAUCCCGUUCACUACACCUUCAAGUUUCAAAAUAUCACUCACAUUACAAUGACCGAGAAUUUCAUGCCACUGUCUCAAUGUAUAGGACGCCCUAUUUGAACACAGUAUUGUUUAAGAAAUACAGUCUACCAUGCUUAACUAUGUCAAACUUUGUACCGUUUGUAGAUGUUAAUUCUGCAGAAUUUGGUUUAAACUCGAUUGAUGCACCCUUCUCAGUGGCAGCUUGAACCGAGAAAAUAUCUUGCUUGAAGGAAGGUACAUAGAGAGCAUUUUCCAGAAUUGUUGUAUGAACAUUACCACAAGAGUCUACAAGGGUAACACAGGCAUCACCCUUCUUUUUAACCAGAUUAUUUGUUCUACUACCAUCAGCUAGUUCAAUAAAAUGUCUCUCAGGAUCAAAUUGCUUGUCAAAACACACAAAUUUGGAGUCAUCAUUGAUUAUAUGAGUAGUUGCACCACAGUCCACCAUUAACUUGUUAACCACAACACAUGAUUCAGUCUCUGAUCUCCGAAGCCCCACUUUAAACACAAAACUGUGGCUCUGACUGUCAUAAUCAUCACUAUAAUCUUUUACGUUCCUGGCAGAGUCUUUACCACUGUUACCCCCCGAACUCUUCCAACAAAACUUCGUAUCGUGGGAGUUAUUCCUGCAGUUCUCACACCAUCUUCUUAAAGUCUGGUUCGGUCUAGAGACACGGCAGUCGACCGAUUUGUGACCCUGAAGACCGCACUUGAAACACGUACCACUGAAUUUACGAGACUCUAUCCUCAUCACUCUGUCACUGUCAC